Molecule: unclassified non-coding RNA, 279 nt
Filed under: plant metagenome
Description: partial contains small subunit ribosomal RNA, internal transcribed spacer 1, and 5.8S ribosomal RNA
Source: RNAcentral
UCUCCGUAGGUGAACCUGCGGAGGGAUCAUUAUUGAAUUAACAACUCCCAAACCCCGUCGCUCAUACGACUUGUCGCGCCCGCGGAUGUGCCCGCUCCCGGAAAAACGGGACCCCCAACCAGAGGACCCCUAGACUCCGCUUCUAUAUGUAACGUCUGAGUGAUACCAUAAAUACACCAACACUUUCUACAACGGAUCUUUUGGUUUUUGCAUUGAUGAUGAACGAAGCAGAUCAGCAGAGCACAAGGCUGAUCUCCAGUCACAAUUCCGGAAAUAACA